Molecule: ribosomal RNA, 1352 nt
Filed under: Cupriavidus pinatubonensis
Lineage: Bacteria; Pseudomonadati; Pseudomonadota; Betaproteobacteria; Burkholderiales; Burkholderiaceae
Description: bacterial SSU rRNA
Rfam family: Bacterial small subunit ribosomal RNA
Source: RNAcentral
CAUUGCUCAGAUUGAACGCUGGCGGCAUGCCUUACACAUGCAAGUCGAACGGCAGCACGGGAGCAAUCCUGGUGGCGAGUGGCGAACGGGUGAGUAAUAUAUCGGAACGUACCUUUCAGUGGGGGAUAACGUAGCGAAAGUUACGCUAAUACCGCAUAUUCUGUGAGCAGGAAAGCAGGGGAUCUUAGGACCUUGCGCUGAUUGAGCGGCCGAUAUCAGAUUAGCUAGUUGGUGAGGUAAAGGCUCACCAAGGCGACGAUCUGUAGCGGGUCUGAGAGGAUGAUCCGCCACACUGGAACUGAGACACGGUCCAGACUCCUACGGGAGGCAGCAGUGGGGAAUUUUGGACAAUGGGGGCAACCCUGAUCCAGCCAUGCCGCGUGAGUGAAGAAGGCCUUCGGGUUGUAAAGCUCUUUCAGCCGGGAAGAAAACGCAUGGGUUAAUACCCUGUGUGGAUGACGGUACCGGAAUAAGAAGCACCGGCUAACUACGUGCCAGCAGCCGCGGUAAUACGUAGGGUGCGAGCGUUAAUCGGAAUUACUGGGCGUAAAGCGUGCGCAGGCGGUUUUGUAAGACAGGCGUGAAAUCCCCGGGCUCAACCUGGGAACUGCGUUUGUGACUGCAAGGCUAGAGUAUGGCAGAGGGGGGUGGAAUUCCACGUGUAGCAGUGAAAUGCGUAGAGAUGUGGAGGAACACCGAUGGCGAAGGCAGCCCCCUGGGCCAAUACUGACGCUCAUGCACGAAAGCGUGGGUAGCAAACAGGAUUAGAUACCCUGGUAGUCCACGCCCUAAACGAUGUCAACUAGGUGUUGGGUGGGUAAAACCAUUUAGUACCGGAGCUAACGCGUGAAGUUGACCGCCUGGGGAGUACGGCCGCAAGGUUAAAACUCAAAGGAAUUGACGGGGACCCGCACAAGCGGUGGAUGAUGUGGAUUAAUUCGAUGCAACGCGAAAAACCUUACCUACCCUUGACAUGUCCAGAAGCCCUUAGAGAUUUGGGUGUGCCCGAAAGGGAGCUGGAACACAGGUGCUGCAUGGCUGUCGUCAGCUCGUGUCGUGAGAUGUUGGGUUAAGUCCCGCAACGAGCGCAACCCUUGUCGUUAAUUGCCAUCAUUUAGUUGGGCACUUUAACGAGACUGCCGGUGACAAACCGGAGGAAGGUGGGGAUGACGUCAAGUCCUCAUGGCCCUUAUGGGUAGGGCUUCACACGUCAUACAAUGGUCGGUACAAAGGGUCGCCAACCCGCGAGGGGGAGCCAAUCCCAGAAAGCCGAUCGUAGUCCGGAUCGUAGGCUGCAACUCGCCUGCGUGAAGUCGGAAUCGCUAGUAAUCGUGGAUCAGCAUGUCACGGUG